AUGCAUUCCACCACCUUCCCCGCAGUAAAACGAAGAUGCAUAUCUCCUUCCCUGCCUCCGGCAACCCGGUGCCCCGCAGUGCGCGAUGCAGGCUCCGGCGCAUACUCCAGGCCAGCCUGGGAGUCGCUGCAAGGAGAUUUGGUUCGAUUGGUCGCGUCGGGCUUGCUGGCAGGAGAUCUACUGGACUACGUCCGCUUCCGCGCCGUCUGCGCGCACUGGCGAUCCGCCACGAUCUGCCCGCGCGGCCGCGGGGUGGUUGAUCCGCGCUUCCAUCCGCGCCGGUGGAUGAUGUUUCCGGAGGACUGUGGCCUUUACCCUGGACAUCCGGAGCUGGGUGGCUACAUCCGCUUCUUUAACCUAGACUCGGGUGCCUUUGUCCGCGUGUCUGCCAUUGUUCAGGAACCACUGUAUUCUCGAUUCGGUCUGUGGCCUCCUCCUCCUCCAGAGGGACAAGGAUGCAGCCAUCCGUCUUCUACACCCUUUCACCCGUGA
Molecule: ribosomal RNA, 492 nt
Filed under: Triticum aestivum (bread wheat)
Lineage: Eukaryota; Viridiplantae; Streptophyta; Magnoliopsida; Poales; Poaceae
Description: partial small subunit ribosomal RNA
Source: RNAcentral